This 253-nucleotide ribosomal RNA is filed under the name uncultured bacterium. Its description in RNAcentral is "partial 16S ribosomal RNA". It matches the Rfam family "Bacterial small subunit ribosomal RNA", at positions 524 to 776 of the family's 1533-position model. The record is from RNAcentral.
UACGGAGGGCGCAAGCGUUGUUCGGAAUCACUGGGCGUAAAGCGCGUGUAGGCGGCCGGGCAAGUCGGAUGUGAAAUCCCGAGGCUCAACCUCGGAACUGCAUUCGAAACUGUUCGGCUCGAGUCCCGGAGAGGAUGGCGGAAUUCCCGGUGUAGGGGUGAAAUCCGUAGAUAUCGGGAGGAACACCAGUGGCGAAGGCGGCCAUCUGGACGGUGACUGACGCUGAGACGCGAAAGCGUAGGGAGCAAACAGG